This 370-nucleotide ribosomal RNA is filed under the name uncultured prokaryote. RNAcentral describes it as "bacterial SSU rRNA". It matches the Rfam family "Bacterial small subunit ribosomal RNA", at positions 524 to 896 of the family's 1533-position model. The record is from RNAcentral.
UACGGAGGGUGCAAGCGUUAUCCGGAUUCACUGGGUUUAAAGGGUGCGUAGGUGGGCAGGUAAGUCCGCGGUGAAAUCCCCGAGCUUAACUUGGGAACUGCCGUUGAUACUAUCUGUCUUGAAUAUCGUGGAGGUAAGCGGAAUAUGUCAUGUAGCGGUGAAAUGCUUAGAGAUGACAUAGAACACCAAUUGCGAAGGCAGCUUGCUACACGAUAAUUGACACUGAGGCACGAAAGCGUGGGGAGCAAACAGGAUUAGAUACCCUGGUAGUCCACGCCCUAAACUAUGGAUACUCGACAUCAGCGAUACACAGUUGGUGUCUGAGCGAAAGCAUUAAGUAUCCCACCUGGGAAGUACGAUCGCAAGAUUG